RNAcentral lists this microRNA (23 nucleotides) under Branchiostoma lanceolatum (amphioxus). RNAcentral describes it as "Bla-Mir-4872-P1_5p (mature (guide))". Lineage: Eukaryota; Metazoa; Chordata; Leptocardii; Amphioxiformes; Branchiostomatidae. The record is from RNAcentral.
AUACGGGGCAGUUAUAGUCAUGU